CACGUAGGGCGCAAGCGUUGUCCGGAAUUAUUGGGCGUAAAGAGCUCGUAGGCGGUCUGUUGCGUCUGCUGUGAAAACCCGGGGCUUAACCCCUGGCUUGCAGUGGAUACGGACAGACUAGAGGUAGAUAGGGGAGAAUGGAAUUCCCGGUGUAGCGGUGAAAUGCGCAGAUAUCGGGAGGAACACCGGUGGCGAAGGCGGUUCUCUGGGCCUUACCUGACGCUGAGGAGCGAAAGCGUGGGGAGCGAACAGG
This 253-nucleotide ribosomal RNA is filed under the name uncultured bacterium. Its description in RNAcentral is "partial 16S ribosomal RNA". It matches the Rfam family "Bacterial small subunit ribosomal RNA", at positions 524 to 776 of the family's 1533-position model. The record is from RNAcentral.